Molecule: ribosomal RNA, 240 nt
Filed under: uncultured bacterium
Lineage: Bacteria
Description: partial small subunit ribosomal RNA
Rfam family: Bacterial small subunit ribosomal RNA
Source: RNAcentral
AGAAUCAACGCUGGCGGCGUGCCUAACACAUGCAAGUCGCACGAGAAAGGGGAGCAAUCCCUGAGUACAGUGGCGCACGGGUGAGUAACACGUGAAUAAUCUACCUCCGAGUGGGAAUAACUGAGAGAAAUCUUAGCUAAUACCGCAUAACACUUACGAGUCAAAGCAGCAAUGCGCUUGGAGAGGAGUUCGCGGCCGAGUUAGUUAGUUGGCGGGGUAAUGGCCCACCAAGACGAUGAU